RNAcentral lists this non-coding RNA (102 nucleotides) under Chromera velia. The record is from RNAcentral. Lineage: Eukaryota; Chromeraceae.
CGUUUCUAUUCUCUCUCUCCCUUUUUUUUCUUCCUUUGUAGCUGUAAUGCUUCGUUGGUCUCUCUUAAAGACGGGCAGAAUGAAGGAAAAGAAAGGAAAAGC